Molecule: long non-coding RNA, 220 nt
Filed under: Cyanistes caeruleus (blue tit)
Lineage: Eukaryota; Metazoa; Chordata; Aves; Passeriformes; Paridae
Description: lncRNA (ENSCCEG00000014585.1)
Source: RNAcentral
ACAGUAUCAGUGGGAAACUAAUUUCUGCAGUCAUGGCAGACUGCCUGUUUGUAGCCAUCCUUUGAAAAAGGUUGUGUGUUUCUGCCAUAUUUGGUCUGCCUGUUCCUGCUUCAAACCACUGUGUACAGAGGAAGAUCCUCAUUUGUCCUCUUCUUUUUUUCUGAUGUAACUUCAUAUUUGUUCUUGGCCUGUCUAGAAUCUCCUGACUUUUGCUGGUGGG